Esox lucius (northern pike) is the source of this 1024-nucleotide long non-coding RNA. RefSeq lists it as uncharacterized. The record is from RefSeq and is a predicted model, not a curated record. The transcript has 2 exons. Lineage: Eukaryota; Metazoa; Chordata; Actinopteri; Esociformes; Esocidae.
UAUGACUCUAUCUCCCUCCAGCCGUAUGGACAGACAAGGCAGGAGAGGGGCGUUUGGGGCCCAGCUGACAUCACUUCGCCCUGGGGCAAGACACUGAUCAGAUCUCAUAUCCUGGGGCAGCGUGAUCAGAUUCAGAUAUGACGUCUGGGUCCAUUGCAGACCAACACAGAGAAACAGAAGCAUCUGUUAUUGGACAAAGAUAAGUGUUGCUUUAGUUAUGUUUUAAAUUAUAUGUACUGCUACAGUUUAUACCCCCAUUGUUAAUUUUAAGUACCGCUAUGGUUUUUACAUUAGGAAUUAUAAUUAGUACUAUGUAUUUGUCAUUGCAUUUCUACAGACUCACAUUAACAAUCUUUUUUCUUGGAGUCUAAAUGUGAGUAAUAUACAGUUUCUGUGUCUGAAGCUGUUGAACGUAUUUGUCUGUACGGUCAGGACAGAGAGGCACAGAUGCCGCAUUCUUAUUUGAACAAAAAAUGAUCCUGGACCAACACACAAUAUAAUUUCUUACGUGGAUUAUCAUUAAUGGACACUUUGUAGGGGUUGAUGCAUUUUUUUGUUCAGGAAAUGUUUACUUUAGAAGCCUUUUUGAAUCUACAUUUUGUUUCUUGCUUCGCAGGGAACAUUUCUGCCAACACCAAGAUGAUAAAACAAAGAUCUCAUGUCUGGAAUAACAUGGAGGCAUCUGUUAAUCACAGGCACUUCUACAUGGUUGGUCUUCCUGGGAGACCAGGUCCCCAUCAUCGGUUAUGUAGUCGUGCUAAAUAGUUUCCUCAUUAUAAAGUAGUGAUACUGUUUGCUCGUUAUGAAUCGCAUUUUAUUACAUUUGUUGUUUGUUGGUAACAUUUAAAUUGGAUACAAAUUAUACAUUCCUAAACACCCCAUUUUUCUUGGUCCCUGGAGUCUGUAGUUUCCUCAUUAUAGAUGAUAAGUAAUGCUGUACUUUGCUCAUUAUAUUGUACAUUGCUGAUUGUUUGUAACAUUUAAAUUGGAUCGAAAUUAUUCAUUCUUAAACACUCCAAUCAUA